GCAAACCAAUCGCACGAUGGGCUCAGCCCAAGGCGAAGGAAGCUUAGGCGAUGGCAGGUCUGUGAUGCCCCUAGAUGCCCUGGAUCGCACGCGCAAUACAAUGGCGACUCAAACGCGCAGGUUCGUCCGAGAGGACUUACAAAUCGCACAAAAAGUC
Molecule: ribosomal RNA, 157 nt
Filed under: uncultured Paramyxida
Lineage: Eukaryota; Endomyxa; Ascetosporea
Description: partial small subunit ribosomal RNA
Rfam family: Eukaryotic small subunit ribosomal RNA
Source: RNAcentral